AGAGUUUGAUCAUGGCUCAGGACGAACGCUGGCGGCGUGCCUAAUACAUGCAAGUCGAGCGAACAGAGAAGAAGCUUGCUCCUUUGACGUUAGCGGCGGACGGGUGAGUAACACGUGGGCAACCUACCUUAUAGUUUGGGAUAACUCCGGGAAACCGGGGCUAAUACCGAAUAAUCUGUUUCACCUCAGUGGUGAAACAAUGAAAGACGGUUUCGGCUGUCGCUAUAAGAUGGGCCCGCGGCGCAUUAGCUAGUUGGUGAGGUAACGGCUCACCAAGGGACGAUGCGUAGCCGACCUGAGAGGGUGAUCGGCCACACUGGGACUGAGACACGGCCCAGACUCCUACGGGAGGCAGCAGUAGGGAAUCUUCCACAAUGGGCGAAAGCCUGAUGGAGCAACGCCGCGUGAGUGAAGAAGGAUUUCGGUUCGUAAAACUCUGUUGUAAGGGAAGAACAAGUACAGUAGUAACUGGCUGUACCUUGACGGUACCUUAUUAGAAAGCCACGGCUAACUACGUGCCAGCAGCCGCGGUAAUACGUAGGUGGC
This 546-nucleotide ribosomal RNA is filed under the name uncultured bacterium. Its description in RNAcentral is "bacterial SSU rRNA". It matches the Rfam family "Bacterial small subunit ribosomal RNA", at positions 8 to 535 of the family's 1533-position model. The record is from RNAcentral.